Camellia sinensis is the source of this 2027-nucleotide non-coding RNA. NCBI's taxonomy places the organism in Eukaryota, Viridiplantae, Streptophyta, Magnoliopsida, Ericales, Theaceae. The record is from RefSeq and is a predicted model, not a curated record.
UUAAUUUCAUGUGCCCCCGAAAGGCCCUAACCAGUCGCUUCUCUCAGAGACUCUGCUGCGAAAAUGGUGGUCUUAUCCUGCGCUUACUCUGCUUAUCCUGCGCACGCUGUCUGUCUCAGAGCUCACAGAGGCUUUUCUCCAGUGCGGUCGACCUCUCCAGUCUCCGUUUCUCAUACCCAUCGUCAUCAUGAUCACCACCACCAUGAUCAUCCCUUUGUCCCAGAGGUUGAAAAGGCAGUGGACUCCUUGUACGCGGAGUUCCGGGCCGUGGAUAAUCUAGUUGCGCGUAACACUGCCCGUGUUCUUAGGGCUUUCCAGAAUGCCCGGGUUGGAUCCCAUCACUUUGGUGGUUCCACAGGCUAUGGACACGAGGAUGCUGGAGGACGUGAAGCCCUUGACCAAGCUUUUGCAGAAAUUUUUGGUGCUGAAUCUGCAAUAGUUCGUUCACAGUUUUUCUCAGGUACCCAUGCUAUCUCAUGUGCAUUGUUUGCUUUUCUUAGGCCAGGGCAUGAGCUUUUGGCAGUUGUUGGUGCUCCAUAUGAUACCUUGGAGGAAGUUAUUGGAAUUAGGGACUCUCAUGGAUUGGGUUCCUUGAAAGAUUUUGGAGUGAAGUACCGUGAAGUGCCACUUGCCGAGGAUGGUGGGCUUGACUGGAAUGCACUUGAGGGUGCAUUGACAGCUCAAACAAAAUGUGCACUCAUACAGAGGUCUUGUGGUUACUCAUGGCGUCGUAGUUUAAGUGUAAAUGAGAUAGGGAGGGCAAUCAAGAUGAUCAAGAUGCAGAAUCCGAACUGCUUGGUCAUGGUUGAUAACUGCUAUGGUGAAUUUGUGGAAAACAUGGAACCUCCAAUGGUGGGUGCAGAUCUAAUUGCAGGCAGUUUAAUAAAAAAUCCUGGGGGAACCAUUGCACCCUGUGGUGGAUAUGUUGCAGGGAAGGAAAAAUGGGUUAAAGCAGCAGCUGCUCGUCUAUCUGCACCAGGGCUUGGGAUUGAUUGUGGCUCAAUCCCUGGUGACAUAAUGCGUGCAUUUUUCCAAGGGUUAUUCCUUUCACCUCAAAUGGUCGGGGAAGCAAUCAAGGGAAGCUUCUUGAUUGCUGAAGUCAUGGCAGCUAAAGGGUAUAAGGUGCAGCCACUUCCUCGGGCACGCCGUCAUGAUACCGUACAGAAUUAUAAACGUGAAAUGAUCAUGUUGCUAGAUGCUGCUUUUCAGGCCGUACAGCUUGGAUGCCGUGAGCGUCUCCUUGCUUUCUGUGAGGCUGUACAGAGAAGCUCCCCAGUUGGUUCUUUCACCAAGCCCAUUGCGGGUUCGACUCCUGGAUAUGCAUCUGAGGUUUGCGUAAUCUUUGCUGAUGGAACCUUCAUUGAUGGCAGUACAAGUGAGCUCUCAUGUGAUGGACCACUAAGGGAGCCUUUUGCUGUGUAUUGCCAGGGUGGCACCCAUUGGACACACUGGGGACUAGUUCUGGGAGAUGUAUUGAAAUCUAUAUAAUCUAAGACUAAUCAUAGAAAUGAAGCAAGGUGUUUUAUUGAUAUGCUUCCAAGUUCCAACAAUAAUGUCAUUGUUUGAGUCUUCUCACAAAGACUUCCAAUUUAGCCAUUCAAUGGUGGCAAGAAUGAAAGGAAACCUCAAUGAGAUUGCUAAUGCUUGUUAAGUAGGGAGGGGAAGAAGGUGGCAUCAAACUCAACGCAAUUUUGAACCCAAGGAAUGCGGCUACUCUCUGAAGUUAUGUGGAGAAAUUAAGGAUUUCGGAACUACAGGUGGCAGACACAGGUUCUUACAGUAGCAGUUUUAUCUAUUUAUUUAUUUAUAAUUUUUGUAACCCUGGUUGAAUUGGGUUUUGUCAAUGCAAGGUGUACCCUCUGCUUAAUUUUGUAUGCGCCGAUUGAUUACAGAAACUGUAUUUUUUUGGUUGGUUGGUUGGUUGGGCGGCUUGUUAUAUCAAUUUCAGACAGUUUCAGUGGAUUUCAACCAUUUUUGCUUCCUAAAGUAGCAGGUGUGUGACUCACCAACACCAUUUUUUGUGUGUA